ACUCUGAUAGUUUAUAAAAAACAUUGGUCUUGUAAACCAAAGAAUGAAGAUUACACUUCUUAGAGUU
Molecule: transfer RNA, 67 nt
Filed under: Phaethon lepturus (White-tailed tropicbird)
Lineage: Eukaryota; Metazoa; Chordata; Aves; Phaethontiformes; Phaethontidae
Rfam family: tRNA
About the family: Transfer RNA (tRNA) molecules are approximately 80 nucleotides in length. Their secondary structure includes four short double-helical elements and three loops (D, anti-codon, and T loops). Further hydrogen bonds mediate the characteristic L-shaped molecular structure. tRNAs have two regions of fundamental functional importance: the anti-codon, which is responsible for specific mRNA codon recognition, and the 3' end, to which the tRNAs corresponding amino acid is attached (by aminoacyl-tRNA synthetases). tRNAs cope with the degeneracy of the genetic code in two manners: having more than one tRNA (with a specific anti-codon) for a particular amino acid; and 'wobble' base-pairing, i.e. permitting non-standard base-pairing at the 3rd anti-codon position.
Source: Rfam by way of RNAcentral